This 377-nucleotide ribosomal RNA is filed under the name uncultured eukaryote. RNAcentral's name for it is "partial 18S ribosomal RNA". It matches the Rfam family "Eukaryotic small subunit ribosomal RNA", at positions 592 to 976 of the family's 1831-position model. The record is from RNAcentral.
CAAUAGCGUAUAUUUAAGUUGCUGCAGUUAAAAAGCUCGUAGUUGGAUUUCGGGUGGGAAUGGCCGGUCCGCCGUUUCGGUGUGCACUUGCUACGCCCACCUUGCUGCCGGGGACGUGCUCUUGAGUUCACGCUCGGGACACGGAGUCGGCGAGGUUACUUUGAGUAAAUUAGAGUGUUCAAAGCAGGCCUACGCUCUGAAUACAUUAGCAUGGAAUAACACGAUAGGACUCUGGCCUAUCUUGUUGGUCUGUAGGACCGGAGUAAUGAUUAAGAGGGACAGUCGGGGGCGUUCGUAUUUCAUUGUCAGAGGUGAAAUUCUUGGAUUUAUGAAAGACGAACUACUGCGAAAGCAUUUGCCAAGGAUGUUUUCAUUAA